GGUCCGCCCCCUAUACGUCAUCAUUGAGUAAACUUUGACCCGGAACCUCACAGUCAGCAGACACUUCCUGGGAGGGAGGGUCUGCUGAUGAUUGGGUGGAAUGUGUCUGCUGGCUGUGAGGUUCCAGGUCAAAGUUUACUCAAUGAUGACGUAUAGGGGGCGGACC
This 166-nucleotide microRNA precursor is filed under the name Pelobates cultripes (western spadefoot toad). The record is from RNAcentral. Lineage: Eukaryota; Metazoa; Chordata; Amphibia; Anura; Pelobatidae.